RNAcentral lists this ribosomal RNA (253 nucleotides) under uncultured bacterium. Its description in RNAcentral is "partial 16S ribosomal RNA". It matches the Rfam family "Bacterial small subunit ribosomal RNA", at positions 524 to 776 of the family's 1533-position model. The record is from RNAcentral.
UACGUAGGGUGCAAGCGUUAAUCGGAAUUACUGGGCGUAAAGCGUGCGCAGGCGGUUCGUUGUGUCCGAUGUGAAAGCCCCGAGCUCAACUUGGGAAUGGCAUUGGAAACUGGCGGGCUGGAGUGUGGCAGAGGGGGGUGGAAUUCCACGUGUAGCAGUGAAAUGCGUAGAGAUGUGGAGGAACACCGAUGGCGAAGGCAGCCCCCUGGGCCAACACUGACGCUCAGGCACGAAAGCGUGGGGAGCAAACAGG